AUUUUUUUGUCAGAUCCUCUUUUUAUUGAAAUAUUUCCUGUUUCUUAGCCAACUAGGCACACCACAACACCAUUGUUGAUGUCAUCAAUGAUGUCAUGAGGGUGCAGGUUGUCCACAUUGCAGCUCACAGGCUGGGAGGUCCCCAGAAUUUCUUCAACGUUCUGGAAAGUUCUCUGGCUAAAGACCAGUGUCACAUCUGUCAGGCAAUGCUGACAAUCUCAUCAAAAGUGAUAUUUCCACUGUGUUGAAUGUUUUUCUGCUUCUUCCCAUCUCUUGGUGGCUCCCUGAGGGCUUUGAUGAUCAGAGCAGAGGCAGAAGGCACCACCUCGAUCUGAGCCUGUCUGUCCUGAAUGGUCAGUGUCACAGUAAUCCUCAGACCUUCCAGUCCCCAGUUGCCUUGGUGAUGUCAUCACCCACUUUUGGAGACAGACCCCAAGGACCGAUCUUGGGGGUCAGGGCAGACGUGGCCAUCAGUGCACUUCAGAAACCAUCUGUGUGGUGGAGACAAUGCUUAAUCAUGAGUAAGGAGAAAUCUCUACAGAUGUUUCAUUGCCAAAAAUAUCUUGAUUACUUUGACAUGGAACUGGCCUCCAUCUCAGUAAUUUCAGGCUGACUGCGUGGGUUGUGCUGCCAUACUUUGAGCCACACCUAUCCCCCGGGACUAAGAGAAGAAAAUCUGCUAUUUUGAGUUGCGC
RNAcentral lists this long non-coding RNA (695 nucleotides) under Chinchilla lanigera (long-tailed chinchilla). RNAcentral's name for it is "lncRNA (ENSCLAG00000022615.1)". Lineage: Eukaryota; Metazoa; Chordata; Mammalia; Rodentia; Chinchillidae. The record is from RNAcentral.